This 1334-nucleotide unclassified non-coding RNA is filed under the name Hevea brasiliensis (rubber tree). The record is from RNAcentral. Lineage: Eukaryota; Viridiplantae; Streptophyta; Magnoliopsida; Malpighiales; Euphorbiaceae.
CAAUAUCAUCAACAUAUACAACCAAUAAGAUUAUGUCACCCUUGCACUGUUUAUAAAAAAUUGAAUGAUUACAUUUGCUUUUCUGCAUUCUAAAUUCUUAAACGACCUUAUUAAACCUUCCAAACCAAGCAUGAGGACUAUGCUUUAAGCAUAUAGAGAUUUGCAAUGCGGAUAAACUUUCCCAUACUUCCCCUUGAGCAACAAACUCAGGUAGUUGCUCCAUAUAGACUUCCGCUUGAAGAUCAUUAUGUAGAAAAACAUUCUUAAUAUCCUGACUGGUAUAAAGGCUAGUUAUAGAUGGCUGCCAUAAAAAUGAAAAGGCGAAUGCAUGCCAUUUUUGCCACAGGACAGAAAGUGUCAGAAUAAUCAACACUAUGAGUUUAAGCAUAUUCCUUAGCAAGAAGACGAGCUUUAAGGUGAGCCACAGAACAAUCAGGAUUAACCUUUAUUGAAACACACAUAUACAUCCAAUUGCCUUCUUUCUUGCAAGUAAGGUAACCAAAUUCCAAGUGCCAUUAUUAUCCAAGGCCACCAUUUCCUCCUCCAUGGCGGCUCGCCAGCUAGGAUUAGAUAGAGCUUCAUGAAUUGUUUUAGGAAGUGAGCAAAAUCUAAUGAUGCAAUGAAGGAGCAAGGAAACAGGUGACUAUAAGAAACAAAGGAAGAAAUAUGAUAAGUAUAUUAACGUUUACCUUUCCGAAGAGCAAUAGGAAGAUGAAGACUAGAAUCAUGAUCAUUGGAUACUGGAUCUGACAAUGAAGUAAUUGGUAUAGGUCUUGUGUCAUGAGUCUUUGGUCGGUAAGAGUAGACAUGAAUAUAAGGUGAUCGGGUAGGUGUUGGAGUAGCUGCUAGGAUAAUUGAAGAACUGACAUGGUUGCAGUGUAAACAAGUAUAUCCUCCCCCUAACUCUCCUAAAUGAAAGAGACAGUUAAAAAAAAAUGCAAUGUUUUCCCAAAAAAGUGACAUUUGCAGAUAUCAGAUUUCGGUUUAGGUUAGGAGAAUAGCAGAAUAUCCUAGGAAAAUAUAUUUAAGAGAUUUAGGAUCUAGUUUGGUGAUGUGAGGACUGACAUCACGAACAAAUCAAGUGCAACAAAAAAAUCUUAGGUUCAAUGGGAAACAAUGACUUAGUUGGAAAGAGAAUAGUGUAUGGAGUUUCACAAUUAAGAAUUGAAGAGGGCAUUCUAUUGACUAGAAAACAAGCUGUGGAGACAACAUUUGCCUAGAGUUGUUCAGGCACUUUCAUUUGAAUAAGGGCUCGGGCUACCUUAAGAAGAUGCCUAUUUUUGCUUUUUGCAACCCUAUUUUGAGAGGGCGUUUCAAUACAAGAAGACUGAUAA